Molecule: ribosomal RNA, 253 nt
Filed under: uncultured bacterium
Lineage: Bacteria
Description: partial 16S ribosomal RNA
Rfam family: Bacterial small subunit ribosomal RNA
Source: RNAcentral
UACGUAGGGUGCAGGCGUUAAUCGGAAUCACUGGGCGUAAAGCGCACGUAGGCGGAUUGCUAAGUCAGGGGUGAAAUCCUGGAGCUCAACUCCAGAACUGCCUUUGAUACUGGCGAUCUCGAGUCCGGGAGAGGUGAGUGGAACUGCGAGUGUAGAGGUGAAAUUCGUAGAUAUUCGCAAGAACACCAGUGGCGAAGGCGGCUCACUGGCCCGGUACUGACGCUGAGGUGCGAAAGCGUGGGGAGCAAACAGG